AGAUGUUGAUGGCGUGCUCACCAGUUGGUCGUUGAAUAUCGAGGGGUGAAAACGUUCGUUCGCAAACGCGGUCCACUCGGUGGUUGACGGCGGCGUGUGUGUUUCGGUGACGAUUACGCGAGCAACAACUCGGGGGGCAAUCAGUGGGUGGCGUCCACCCAAAUUUAUCCUCCAGCCCAAUAUGUACGGGAGCGACGGGACGUUGUUUUUUCCAUCUAUACACUUUUGACCCUGGCCAUAAAAGCAGUCGGAUUGAGUUUCGCGUGGAAAUUGGGUGAAUUUUCCAACUUCAGGAUCCUUCGAAAAGUGGAUUUAUAAGUGAAAAUGAGUGCUAGACCGUGAUAUUGAACAGGACAUUGGGCGAAGCGGCAUCCAAGAAGUGUGCGGUGCUCAACAGGAACAAUGUGAAAAGUAGUAGCCGUGUAGGUCCACAAGUGUUUCCAAUUUCACUCCAAUUUUCACACUUUUCUGAGCACCUUACACCCUCUAUUAGCAUUCUUUGGCAAACGGGAUACCCAUAGCUUUACGACCUUUCAAGUGCAAUAUUCGCUAAAAUCGCCGCCAGUGAUCGAAGUGGUGCAUUGUGAGAAAAAACCUUCGAGCAACUUUUCAUCUUUGCAAAGCUGUAUGGAGAAAAAAUGAAUCACAAAUCUCCAUGAUGGAUGUAUUGCUAGCAGUCUUCAGCAUCGUCGUCGUUGGUUAGAGGCAGAAAAAAGAGCAACUGUGGAAGGAAGGGUAUAGCAGACGAACCAAACGGAGGUGGAGGAAACUUUGGCAUCGUUGUGAUAUGGCGAGCAGCAAUUUUCAGCGCUAAUCGAGCAUCGUAAGGAAUUUCCGCUCAUUUUGCCAUAAUUUGAGCUUUUUGCUGCUUGCUAAAUAACGUCGGAUUCACCAUCGGCCCUCCCCAGGUGCAAACACAUUUUGUAUGAAUGCGGGAUGAAUUCCGGCAGCCAACAGAGGCUGGUGACG
This is a long non-coding RNA of Aedes aegypti (yellow fever mosquito), 969 nucleotides long. RefSeq lists it as uncharacterized. The transcript is spliced from 2 exons. NCBI's taxonomy places the organism in Eukaryota, Metazoa, Arthropoda, Insecta, Diptera, Culicidae. The record is from RefSeq and is a predicted model, not a curated record.